RNAcentral lists this transfer RNA (77 nucleotides) under Candidatus Tokpelaia sp. JSC189. RNAcentral describes it as "tRNA-Arg". It matches the Rfam family "tRNA". Rfam says of the family: Transfer RNA (tRNA) molecules are approximately 80 nucleotides in length. Their secondary structure includes four short double-helical elements and three loops (D, anti-codon, and T loops). The record is from RNAcentral. Lineage: Bacteria; Pseudomonadati; Pseudomonadota; Alphaproteobacteria; Hyphomicrobiales.
GACCCUAUAGCUCAAUCGGAUAGAGCAGCGGUCUUCUAAACCGCAGGUUGCGUGUUCGAGUCACGCUAGGGUCGCCA